UGCUGGCCGGAGAGACACUCAGCCUUGCUGGCAGUCUCUCGGGGAGGAAGGUCACAAUAAUUACCUCUUGUUUUCUCCUUGUCUGGCACCAUCCCAGGAAGCACUUCCUGCAAACAGUGGGAAAAUUCACUCGGGGCCAGGAUAAAGGGAAGCGAGGGAGAUCAGCAAGGCAUCGGGCCAGACGAUGAUGGCAUCUUCUGGGACAGAGGAUGUGAGGCUGAAGAAUGCUGAGUCAGGGUGAAAGGGCCUGGAGGGGUCACGGCUUCCCGCUUCCCUCUGCAGCCCCGAAGGCUGGGAAGGUACUUCUGAAAAGCUGAGAUUCUCACCGAGUCGCAGGGCUCCAGCCGCGGGGGCUGUGGGAAAAGCACCCGCAUAUUGCGAAACUCGUGGUACAACCGCAGGAGUUGGCAAGGCCUCAUUAUCGCGGGGCCUGACCUUCCCGUCCCACUCCAUAACACUGCGGACUUACUCCUGCUCUACACCAGUCGAGGGGCCGUGUUUCAGUCGUGCAGAUCAGGAUCCCGACCGCCGAAGCCUGGCACAGCCUCCGCUUCCUCUCUCGUCUCAGCGGGGCAUGUGGUGUGCGAAAGACGUUCUUGAGGACGUUCCCCAUUCGCAGCGCCCGCUUCGCGUUCCUUCUCGCUGCCACCCAACUUCUCCACAACAGAGCCGACGUCGGGGACACCACUGACAAUUUCGACUGAGCGGUUUCGCCCGCUAAGAUGCUGGCAGCGUGUUCCAAGUCGUCCACCAGAAGAAUUUGGGUUUUACCCCAUUUCACUUUCAGGCCAGCUUUUGCCACUUAACUUUCUAGGGCUUCAAGCGCCGCAGCCCAAUCGUACAGGAGGCACAACCCUACUGCCAAGAGUCAUGGGUAUAAUGAACCCCCCUUAGGACAGACGGGGUCCUGGUCCCUAACUGGCACUCCCAGCUGCUCCGGUAAUACAGAUAAUUAAAAUAACAACACAGAGAGGAGCAGUUCCAAUUCCAUCCACUAGAGGACAGUGGCACCCAUACACACUAGCCAAUUAAUUAAUUAGCCUCUUACAGUUUGUAUGGCAACUUCCGCCUUCUCUGUAUGUGUAUAUAUAUAUAUAUAUAUAUAUAUAUAUAUAUAUAUAUAUAUAUAUAUAUAUAGAUCUUCUUACUAUAUGUUCCAUUCUAUGCAUCCGAUGAAGUGGGCUGUAGCCCACGAAAGCUUAUGCCCUAAUAAAUUUGUUAGUCUCUU
Long non-coding RNA from Chelonia mydas (Green sea turtle), 1228 nucleotides. RefSeq lists it as uncharacterized. The record is from RefSeq and is a predicted model, not a curated record. NCBI's taxonomy places the organism in Eukaryota, Metazoa, Chordata, Testudines, Cheloniidae. The transcript has 3 exons.